AACCCAGAUCAGUCGUUCCCAACAAUGCAUCUCUGUGAUUUUCAUGGCCACCUUACCGGAAAAUGAAAUCCCCAAAAUGUCUGCAAUGGGAGUGAUGACCUGGAAACGUCUCUGUGACCUGUUUUGGAAACUGAAUGCUUCAUCCAUCUUACAAACCUAGAGAGCAAGGGAGAGAAGAGACUAUUCCUGACUCCUCAUAACUGGGCCCAUUGGUGGGUCACCAUCCUCGCAACUUGGCUGCGCUUGAGCACCGGGACUUCCCCCAGAGGUCCUGCUUUUCCACAGA
This is a long non-coding RNA of Nothoprocta perdicaria, 286 nucleotides long. RefSeq lists it as uncharacterized. The record is from RefSeq and is a predicted model, not a curated record. The transcript is spliced from 2 exons. NCBI's taxonomy places the organism in Eukaryota, Metazoa, Chordata, Aves, Tinamiformes, Tinamidae.